This is a long non-coding RNA of Ctenopharyngodon idella (grass carp), 5548 nucleotides long. RefSeq lists it as uncharacterized. The transcript has 2 exons. NCBI's taxonomy places the organism in Eukaryota, Metazoa, Chordata, Actinopteri, Cypriniformes, Xenocyprididae. The record is from RefSeq and is a predicted model, not a curated record.
AGCAUGAGGCUGUGGGUCAUAGUCAGUCCAAAAAUGUCAAUUUUUUCUCACCCUUAUGUUGUUUCCAAACUUGAAUUUUCUUUCUUCUAUGGAACACAAUAUUAAAGCAACUUGUUUUUGUACAACUUUCAUUGUACACACUUACAAAUAAAGUUUCUUUAUUGGCAUCUGUGGUUCCAUGAAGAACCUCUAACAUCCAUGAAAACUUUCCACUGGACAAAAGGUUCUGUAUAAUGAAAAAGGUUUGUUAGAUUAUUAAUUAAUGUUCUUCAUACUGAAAAAAAGAGGUUCUUUUAAGAUCGGUUCUCUGAAGAAAAUGGAGAAGAAAACUGAAAAUGGUUCUUCUUCGCAAAAAACAACAACAACCUCAUCAUCAAAAAAACAACAACAACAACAACAAAAAAAACUUCACAAAUUUAUUUGCCAAGCUUUACGAAUCUUUUGUUGCAAAUCAGUGGUUCUGAGCACUGCCAAAGUCAGGUGAACCACUGAAAUUUCGAAACACUUAUGAUGCAAGGAAGCCUCGUUUACUGAAAUCAUGUGACUUUGGCAGUUUGAGAUCAUCUGAUACAUGCUCUGAACCACAGAUUCGAAACAAAAGAUUCGUAAAGCUUCAAAGCUUCAUGAAGCAGUGUUUAGUUCAGUGAUGAGUGCUAGAUGUUGUUGAAUAAAGUCAUUAUUUUGUUUUUUUUGGCACACAAAAAGUAUUCUCGUUGCUUCAUAACAUUAAGUUUGAACCAUUGUAGUCACAUGAACUGUUUUAAAUGUUUUUAGUACCUUUCUGGGCGUUUGAAAGUCUAAGUUAACUUGUUUUCAAUGCAGUCCUCACGAGUCAUCGGAUUGUAUCAAAAAUAUCUUAAAUUGUGUUCCGAAGAUGAACGAAGGUCUUACGGGUGUGGAACGACAUGAGGAAAAAAAGACACAUUUUGUAAUUUAUCACCAGGCAUGACAGCAAUCACAUGAGGCAGCCAAUAGGGAACAGUUACCACCAGUUACUUCUGGUGAAAGGACAACUUCUCUUUUAAUGUCAGCAAAGUCACAAGUACACACUACAGUAUAAACAGUAAGUAGCAGAUGAAGGUACAAUAGUGGUGUCUUUAUAUUGGGUGUCAGUUGGGUUAAGAACCCAGAUGGCUCUGUUGUGCAAAAUGCACUGUAAAUCAAGUGGAGAAUGUCAUGAUAAGGACAUUUGUGUGCCUCUGUGAUGGGUUUGACAACUGAUUAAUGUAAUUAUACACAGGAAUAACAAUUUUAUGAGGACUUUUGGCACUUUUUAAUUUCUGAGACCACAACAGAGAUGACAAGAAGGUUGUCAAAAGUACCAACUUCGGUACCAAGUCGGUAAUGUAAUUUUAAAAAUGUGACGAUACUAGCAUUUCCCCCUAGCAUUUUGAGUGCUGUUGAGCGGAUUCUUAAACACCUCUGAUUGGCUUAAAAAUUACAUUUUUUUUAAAAAAUUUAAAAUUACAUUACUGAAGUUGGUACUUUUGACAACCCUGAGCUGAGCACCACAUGCACCAACCGAAGGAGCACAUAGACCAACCACUAGACCACUGCUUUCCACAGUAAUAAGGACAAAGAAUCUAGGAAACUUAAUCAAACCACCAUAUCCAGUUCUGACAGGCGUGUCACAGAAACUUUUUUAAUCACUGUCUGAUAUACAACUUCUCCACCACCUACAGAAACGCUUUGCUAUGGGUAAAAAAACAUCGCUGUCACCAGUGUUAUCGAGGUUAUCUAGACUGCGUAGUGUAGCAGGAAGGACCACAGAAUCUGAAAUGGAUCUCUUAAUCUUUUGUUGAUAUGACAACCGCUGUACCAGCCUGAGAAAAUUUAGAGUCAUAAACAGUUCUUUUACUGUAACUUGUAAGAUUACCUGAAGUGAAUGUGAAAUAGACCACAAUAAUUAGAGCACAUGGAUUCAAUGGGAUCAUGAAAAAUGGGCUCCCUUUAGAGGGAACUUCUACACUGGGUCAGCUCCAUAACAGAAUGGCACCAGACGAAAUUUACAUUUGCUUAAAUACCCAAAUAGCUAUUUAGCUAUUGGUUAACAUUAUAAUAACAAAAAAAAAAAAAAAAACCAAAAUUCAACAUGAAAUGUGAAUCGGUCCUAUUUACAUUUUUAAAAGGGAUAGUUCACCCAAAAAUAAAAAUAAUAAAAAUUCUGUCAUCAUUUACUUACCCUCAAGUUGUUCCAAACCUGUAUGAAUUUUCUGUUGAUCACAAACAAACAAAAACAAAACAACAACAACAACAAAAAACAAACAAAAAAAAAAUAUAUAUAUAUAAUAUAUAUAUACAUUUUGAAGAAUGUCAGUAACCAAACAGUUGACUUUUUUUUUUUUCUUCUCCAUAUUAUGGAAGUUAGUGGGGCCUAUUAAAUGUUUGGUUACCCAUAUUCUUCAAAACAUCUUCUUUUGUUAAAAUGCCCAACUUUACAGCAGAAAAAAAUAUGUUUACAGCCUGGUACAAAAAGUGGUUUUGGUCUAUACAGCUAAUUUUGCCCUUCAUGACAACUGUGAGAGGGGUGAAUUUUUUUAUAACUCAUCCGUUUAAAUUAUAUUAAGCCUUAAAGUUCGGCAUAAUUAAGGGGUGUGGCCACUUGAGUGACAGGUGGAUUGUAGCUGCUGUCUGUUAGCCGUCAUGUCACCUCAGCUAAUUUCAGCCACUGAACUUGGCAUCUCUGCCGUGUUUGUGCCUUUUUUCUGGAUUAUUUCAUACAAUUAUCAAAUAAUAUAGCUUGCUCUGCGGUUAAUGGUCACUACAUGUCUGUGUACAUGUGCACACAUGCGGAAGAUAAACAGAACACAUGUUGUUGGAUCAUCUUGGCAUUGGCUAAAAGUUUUGUUCGUCAGAUUUACUACACUUGACAAUAGCUGGAGAAUGCCUCUCAAGACAUCACAAAAUCCGACAGCACUGCUUGGAUAUUAUAACUAAAACUGCUGUACUAUUUUGAAAAAAAUUUACUUUGCGGACGCGGGCUCAUUUGUUUGUGAGAGUCCAGUGUAUACGAUCGUACACGAGUUUUACAACAUAAACGCUGCUCAGAUUGCAUAAUUUCUUGAAGAACGAUGAUGGAGAGCAGAUCGUUUAGAAGAAAUGUGAUGCAAAAAAGGGACAAUAUAUCAAUAUUUCAUGGAUUUAACGCUUUUGUGGACAAAAAGUGCUGUUGGAUGUUUUUCGAUGGAUGCUUCAUGGACAUUUUACCCAAGUGCGACGGAUUGGAUUCAUCUCACGAUCGCUAUUUCAUUACAAAGGUAGGAAGUCCCGUUUUGAUUUUGUGCGUUGUCAUUUGCACACCCAACACAAAUUACAAUAUUACUGUUGCUGGAGCAUCUAGUAUAUCGUAAAAAAAAAAAAAAAAAAAAAGACACCGUAGAUUGACAGUAAACCCUUAGAACUUUCAAAUGAUAUAACUUCUUAUCUUUAUUAAUAUUUUAGAUAGAUAGCUCCUUAGCCUGAGCUAACUUGGUCACGUCGAGCUAGGCGGGCAUGGUUUCAGCAACCAGGUAUCUCAGUUCCAGCCACGUUAAGCCUCUUUGCCCAUUUUCAGUUAUCUGGGAGUGACGCGUGGUGACACGCUGCCAAGAUGGCGACGGCCCAAUUUAGGCUUCAAAAAUGCUCUUCAGAGACCUAUGGGUAACAUCACGGACACUAUGUCCUUAUUUUUUUUUAGUCUAUGAUUUUAUUCCAAAGAAAACAUUUCUUUGACGUGUGUUGGUCAUUAUCUUUCAUAAUCAAAAUGACUUAUGUUUCUAUUACGCCACACAGUCUGUUCAGUCAUAUACUGAUAUAGCCGAUAGUGAUGCAAUGGACUCCUAGGGAACUGGGGUUACAUUAGUAACCUAGACGUUUCCAAUAGCCAUAUAGCUAGAAAACAACAUUUGUUAUGUUGAGAUCACACACAAAAAAAUUAAGUCAAAUCUUAAAAACAAUCAAUACAGAAUACAGGAAAAAAAUACUAAUGGCUUUUUAGGGUUUCCAUACCACUGUUGAUUUCUUCCAUUGACUUUUUCUUUGUUAUGUCAGUGGAAUGAUAUAUUCUUUACUUUUGUUUGACCUUUAACUAAAAGUAAAUAAGUAAUUUUUUUUAAACAAAGACUAUUGGUACAAACAUCUUUGCUAACUGAAAGUUAAUGGAUACUUAAAUAUCUUUCUUUGCUUGUUUUGUGUAUGAGAGAGAAUAGCCUGAAUUGUGCUCAGACUUGCAUGUCAGCUAUGACCUUUAAUAAAAAAACACACAUGAACCCACAUGAACAUCAACUCACACCAUCACUGUAUUGACAGCACUAAAUCCAUGCAUCUUUUGCUAAGUCAUGAACAUUGUUAUAGUUUGCAUCUGCACUUUCAAGACCUUACAGGUGGAAAGAAGGAAGCAACACAGGAAAUUGUGCACUGUUAGUGAAGUAUAUUAACGUCACUAUUUUUAUGCAGUAAGUUUUUUUUUUUUUUUUUUUUAAUCCGAUGUUUAAUUAAAUAUUUUUUAUUCAUAAAUAUUACUUAAAACAUUAAAUUGUUUUUUUUUUUCUGAUACAUACUAUUGCACGAGUCAUGUAUGUUAAAAUAUAUAUAUAUAUACACAGGUGCUGGUCAUAUAAUUAGAAUAUCAUCAAAAAGUUGAUUUAUUUCACUAAUUCCAUUCAAAAAGUGAAACUUAUAUAUAAUAUUCAUUCAUUACACACAGACUGAUAUAUUUCAAAUGUUUAUUUCUUUUAAUUUUGAUGAUUAUAACUGACAACUAAGGAAAAUCCCAAAUUCAGUAUCUCAGAAAAUUAGAAUAUUGUGAAAAGGUUCAAUAUUGAAGACACAUGGUGCCACACUCUAAUCAGCUAAUUAACUCAAAACACCUGCAAAAAGACCUUUAAAUGGUCUCUCAGUCUAGUUCUGUAGGCUACACAAUCAUGGGGAAGACUGCUGACUUGACAGUUGUCCAAAAGACGACCAUUGACACCUUGCACAAGGAGGGCAAGACACAAAAGGUCAUUGCAAAAGAGGCUGGCUGUUCACAGAGCUCUUUGUCCAAGCACAUUAAUAAAGAGGCGAAGGGAAGGAAAAGAUGUGGUAGAAAAAAGUGUACAAGCAAUAGGGAUAACCGCACGCUGGAGAGGAUUGUGAUACAAAACCCAUUUAAAAAUGUGGGGGAGAUUCACAAAGAGUGGACUGCAGCUGGAGUCAGUGCUUCAAGAACCACUACGCACAGACGUAUGCAAGACAUGGGUUUCAGCUGUCGCAUUCCUUGUGUCAAGCCACUCUUGAACAACAGACAGCGUCAGAAGCGUCUUGCCUGGGCUAAAGACAAAAAGGACUGGACUGCUGCUGAGUGGUCCAAAGUUAUGUUCUCUGAUGAAAGUAAAUUUUGCAUUUCCUUUGGAAAUCAGGGUCCCAGAGUCUGGAGGAAGAGAGGAGAGGCACACAAUCCACGUUGCUUGGGGGGGGGGGGGGGGGGAUUUGUGCAUUGUUACCUUUGAAAGACCUUUGGUCUUUCCUGACAUUACUGAACUUGGCGAUCUGAUAUAAAACCACUACUCUUUUUUUUUUUUUUUUUUUU